GUUGUCUUAAUGAACUAGUUGUUUGUGUUUUGAAAACACAAUUUAGGUUUUU
This 52-nucleotide transfer RNA is filed under the name Ascaris suum (pig roundworm). RNAcentral's name for it is "tRNA-Ser". Lineage: Eukaryota; Metazoa; Nematoda; Chromadorea; Rhabditida; Ascarididae. The record is from RNAcentral.